Molecule: unclassified non-coding RNA, 601 nt
Filed under: Hevea brasiliensis (rubber tree)
Lineage: Eukaryota; Viridiplantae; Streptophyta; Magnoliopsida; Malpighiales; Euphorbiaceae
Source: RNAcentral
GAUUCACGUUGUAAUGUUGGUUCCCCAGCUGUGAGCCCUAAAGGUGAGAGGUCAAUGAAGAAGCAACAGGUAUGCAUGGGCACAGCAUAGGCAAAACCAGAGAUGGUCAGAUACUGGAGUCAAGCUUAAACUCCUAUCGACAGCCACAUUCUGUCUUCCUGGCUAGAGAGGGGUUCGAUCCUUCAUCUGGAUUAUCUAUUGGAAAUGAAAGAUGAAAUAGAGAAGGUUUCAGGCAAUGAUCUUUAAUUUUGGUUGUUACAUGAUGCCUGCCCUUAAUGGCUGCCCACAUUUUUCUUUUCUAUGUAAUUUCUAAGAAUAUGUUCUCAAGCAGGUUAAAGAACCCAUUAAUGUUAGAUGCCGCAGAUAAUUAGGUUCAAGGAAAGCUGUUCAUUUAUAGUGAUUACCUUUAGAUUUGCCAUAGAUGCUUGAGAUCACUGAUCUAAAAGUGGACAUGCAUUGUGAAUGGGCACGGGAUUGGUUAAGAUAUGUACAAUAGACCUCUCAUUGCUUGCAUCUGUUGGACUUUUGGUUAUUCAAAGGUACCUUGCCAUGGUUAGCAUGGGUAAGGAAUGCUUCCAUUGAUGAUGCAUUGUAAUUUGUC